RNAcentral lists this ribosomal RNA (490 nucleotides) under uncultured bacterium. Its description in RNAcentral is "partial 16S ribosomal RNA". It matches the Rfam family "Bacterial small subunit ribosomal RNA", at positions 30 to 507 of the family's 1533-position model. The record is from RNAcentral.
AUUGAACGCUGGCGGCAGGCCUAACACAUGCAAGUCGAACGGUAACAGGGAUCAGCUUGCUGAUUCGCUGACGAGUGGCGGACGGGUGAGUAAUGUCUGGGAAGCUGCCUGAUGGAGGGGGAUAACUACUGGAAACGGUAGCUAAUACCGCAUAACGUCGCAAGACCAAAGAGGGGGACCUUCGGGCCUCUUGCCAUCGGAUGUGCCCAGAUGGGAUUAGCUAGUAGGUGGGGUAACGGCUCACCUAGGCGACGAUCCCUAGCUGUUCUGAGAGGAUGACCAGCCACACUGGAACUGAGACACGGUCCAGACUCCUACGGGAGGCAGCAGUGGGGAAUAUUGCACAAUGGGCGCAAGCCUGAUGCAGCCAUGCCGCGUGUAUGAAGAAGGCCUUCGGGUUGUAAAGUACUUUCAGCGGGGAGGAAGGGAGUAAAGUUAAUACCUUUGCCCAUUGACGUUACCCGCAGAAGAAGCACCGGCUAACUCCGUG